Molecule: transfer RNA, 72 nt
Filed under: Perkinsus marinus ATCC 50983
Lineage: Eukaryota; Perkinsozoa; Perkinsida; Perkinsidae
Rfam family: tRNA
About the family: Transfer RNA (tRNA) molecules are approximately 80 nucleotides in length. Their secondary structure includes four short double-helical elements and three loops (D, anti-codon, and T loops). Further hydrogen bonds mediate the characteristic L-shaped molecular structure. tRNAs have two regions of fundamental functional importance: the anti-codon, which is responsible for specific mRNA codon recognition, and the 3' end, to which the tRNAs corresponding amino acid is attached (by aminoacyl-tRNA synthetases). tRNAs cope with the degeneracy of the genetic code in two manners: having more than one tRNA (with a specific anti-codon) for a particular amino acid; and 'wobble' base-pairing, i.e. permitting non-standard base-pairing at the 3rd anti-codon position.
Source: Rfam by way of RNAcentral
GCCACUUUAGCUUAGCGGCAGAGCGUCUGCUUUGAAAGCAGAAGGUCGUCUGUUCAAUCCUGGCAAGUGGCU